UAGUUUUUCCACCGAAUCUAUGCUACAACCUAAGUCCGCUGAAAGCAUUACGUUUUUCUCCUUCGAGUUUUCUCACCGACGUCGACGCCCACGCCGCACCUUCUCCACCAUUGCCUCACCACCAACGCUCGACGGCUCCAUAUCCACCCUCACCAUCGUCGGCCGGUCUUCAUCUUGCCUAUUUUUCCCAAACCUCAUCUCCGAUCGGACGCCACCAUCAUCAUCACCGGCACACUGAGGAAAGGGCUUCCCUCCCUUCGGUCAUCGCCAAUCACCUCACCCAUCAAGGUAAGGGACUUCCCUACCUAAUCUUCUUCUCUCCAUCUUCUUUGGCAAGCAUCAGCUGCAAUCCAUCUGCUCCAUCCACCGGAAAGGAGUGGGGCUUCCCUUCCUCAAUCGGGGGCCUCUCCUCCAUCGAUCAGCAACUUUCCAUUAUCCAUUUGAGCAACUAAUAUUAGAUUUGAAGCUCCAAUGGAUCUUCCCACAAUUCCUCUUUCAUCAGCCAUCCACAGUUCUUCCACGGCUUCUCAGAUAGGUCACCUCCAAUCCGGAUAGCAAGCAGUGCAGCCUUCAUCUCGAUCAAAUCUGGAUAGACUGAGCCUUGGGGUUUCCCUUUGGUGGAAAGCAGCCUUCAUCCAAGAUCUAGUUCCAAUAGACCUUCCAAGAUCCAAGUCACAUACCUACAUGUGGUGUGGGCAAAGAAGGUAGUAAAUUGUCACAACAUAUUGCUGCUCAGUUGGGAGUAUUGAACAGAGAUAGUAUCUGCUUCAUCCCAUACAAUACUAGAUAAGAAUAUGAUACAUUUAUUAGACUCUUUGAGUAACAGGAAUCGAUACCAUGCUUGGAAAUCUAUUGUGACCAAUGGGGUCAAGAUAUACAAUGCAUCAAGGCGUAUUUCAAAAGGAUCAGAUUUUAAACAAUUGAUGGUAUGUAUUGUAACUAUGUAUUUAAACAUCAAUUAAUAAUUCUUAUUAUCUGGAUUGUGACUUAUUGCAUUAUAUUUUCAAUUUCAUUAUGAUAAUCUAAAACAAAA
Long non-coding RNA from Zingiber officinale, 1033 nucleotides. RefSeq lists it as uncharacterized. The transcript is spliced from 4 exons. The record is from RefSeq and is a predicted model, not a curated record. Lineage: Eukaryota; Viridiplantae; Streptophyta; Magnoliopsida; Zingiberales; Zingiberaceae.